The sequence is a ribosomal RNA, 2155 nucleotides long. It matches the Rfam family "Eukaryotic small subunit ribosomal RNA".
UAUCUGGUUGAUCCUGCCAGUAGUCAUAUGCUUGUCUCAAAGAUUAAGCCAUGCAUGUCUAAGUCCAAGCUGUGUUUACACGGCGAGACCGCGGACGGCUCAUUAAAAUCAGUCGUUGUCCAAAUGGGCCAGUCCUUACUACUUGGAUAACUGUGGUAAUUCCAGAGCUAAUACAUGCAACUGUUAACCCCGAAGGCGGGAGCUUGCCUCUUGCUCGACGGGUGCUUUUAUUAGACCAAACCGCUGGGAGAGACUCACGUCUCUCGACUCGCUGUGUGGUGACUCUGGAUAACCAAUUUUGACAAGCGCACGUACCCCUCGUGGGACGGCGCUGCCACUUUCGAGUGUCUGCCUUAUCAGCUGUCAACCGUUCGUUACACGCGACCGAUGGCUUUGACGGGUAACGGGGAAUCAGGGUUCGAUUCCGGAGAGGCAGCCUGAGAGACGGCUACCACGUCCAAGGACGGCAGCAGGCACGCAAAUUACCCAAUCCCAGCACCUGGGGGAGGUAGUGACGAAACCUAACGAUGCGGGCGCCCUUUACGGGCCCCGCAAUCGGAAUGAGCACUUUCUAAACAACCUGUUGAGAACCUACUGAAGGGCAAGUCUGGUGCCAGCAGCCGCGGUAAUUCCAGCUUCAGUAGCAUCUAUUAAAGUUGCUGCGGUUAAAAGGCUCGCAGUUGAAUGUCAGUGCCGGUUGUUGGUAGGUGGACGUUGGGAUGUCAGUUAAAGGCGCAAGCCAACUGGUCGCUCCCGUCCGUUAAAAGCCUCCGCGACCGUGUACACAGUGGCGCCAAGCGGAGGGGAUGCGUUCGCGUGUUCUUCUCUCUGGUGCCAAUGUCACCCUGAGUAAAUCAGAGUGCUUAAAGCAGUCGUAUUGGGCGCAAGCCUUUGAACACAGUCGCUCCUUCGCGGGUGACACGGACAGACUUGGUUUUGCAUGGCAUGUCAGAACACGACGUCGGGCGCUGGCUCAGAGUUCUUCUCAGUGGUAUAAGCCAGCCUCGACGUACUGAUUAAAAGGGCUUGUCGAGGGCAUUGGUAUUGCGGAGCGAGAGGUGAAAUUCUAUGACCUCCGCAAGACCGCCCGAAGCGAAAGCGUCUGCCAAGGAUGUUUCAUUAAUCAUGAACGAAAGUUAGAGGAUCGAAGGCGAUCAGAUACCGCCCUAGUUCUAACCUUAAACGAUGCCAACCAUCAAUCCGCGCGCAGCACCCUCUUUGCGGGCUCGGCGGGCAGCUCUCUAUCACGGGAAACCAGGGUCUCUGGGUUCCGGGGGGAGUCUGGUUGCAAAGCUGAAACUUAAAGGAAUUGACGGAAAGGCACCACCAGGCGUGGAGCCUGCGGCUUAAUUUGACUCAACACGGGCAAUCUCACCAGGCCAGCACUCUAGCAUGAUUGACAGAUUGAGAGCUCUUUCUCGAUUCAGUGGAUGGUGGUGCAUGGCCGUUCUUAGUUGGUGGAGUGAUCUGUCUGGUUAAUUCCGAUAACGAACGAGACUCUCCCCUGCUAACUAGUCGGUUGGAUCUUGAUCUGCGAGUGUGUGCCCUGUGAGGUGCUUGGUUGUUGCUGCGUGCGUGUUUGUGUCCCCAGCAAUGGGUGAUCCUGCGCGUGCGUUGGUGGCUUCCAUUGCUUCGCUGGUAACGCAUACUCCAAGUCCGCCGCUUGUCUUAGAGAAUAUUCUUCUUAGAGGGAUCCACGGCUCUGAAGCCGUCAGAGACUGAGAGCAAUAACAGGUCUGUGAUGCCCUUAGAUGCUCUGGGCCGCACGCGCGCUACAAUGCCGGGCACAGCAGGUGUUUCUUCCUGCUCCGAGAGGAGCGGGCAACCCUCUGAAAGCCCCAUACUUGACUUGCGUCGCCUUCACGGGCGCGCAGGAGCGGCGUGCUUGGGCCUGGGGCUUGCAAUUAUUCCCCACAAACGAGGAAUGCCUAGUAGCGGUGGGUCACUGAGCCCGCCGUGACUGAGUCCCUGCCCUUUGUACACACCGCCCGUCGCUACUACCGAUUGGGUGUACCAGUGAGAGCCUUGGACUGGCGGCCGUUGCUUUCCUUCAUGGUAGCAAACGGACUCGACUGAAAGAGGUCCGAACUGGUGCACUUAGAGGAAGUAAAAGUCGUAACAAGGUUUCCGUAGGUGAACUGCGGAAGGAUCAUUA